Long non-coding RNA from Papaver somniferum (opium poppy), 2979 nucleotides. RefSeq lists it as uncharacterized. The record is from RefSeq and is a predicted model, not a curated record. Lineage: Eukaryota; Viridiplantae; Streptophyta; Magnoliopsida; Ranunculales; Papaveraceae. The transcript is spliced from 2 exons.
AUAGAGCAGUUGAGGGUCUAGAGGCAUCCACUCAAAACUAGAUCCGUCUGUUCUUGUAUCUUGUUGAUUUCAAUGAAUUAAAUUUUUUGCUAUGUUCUUGUUAGUAUUUUGUUGAAUUGAUUUCAUUAUUUUUAUUUUUUUGAAAUAUAAAAUUUAGGUUUGGAUUUAUAAGCAGAGAUUGUGUGUAUCGGAAUUUUGCUUAUUUCUUGCAAUUUAAUCCGAAAGAUUUCUCUGCGAGAUUGAUUUUGGUGAAGGUGGGCAGUUGAGUUUCAUAAUAAUCUAUUGAUUCAAUCAACAAUCAUUUUCUCCAUAUUUCUUGAACUUUUCUGAUUUAUUUUAGUCUUGUUCUUUGAGUUGUUCUUAAACUGGAUCUCCUUUCCCGAGUGCUUGUUCUAAUACACAACUUUACUUGCCGGAAUACUCUAAUCGGAGAAUACAUCAGAAAGUACGUCAACGGCGGAAUCUGAACAAUUUUCUAGAUUAGGUUCUUUGUUAAUUUGGUUGUGUAGCAUAGAGUAAAUGUUCUGAGGUUCGAGUUAAAUCGGUAGCAUGGAUCGGAGUCAAAUCACCUUGUCAAGCCUUGUGCUGCUUUGAGCAUGAUUGAAUAUUUGGAUUGGUAGGGAAGCAGAGAUUGUGUGUAUCAGAAUUUUGCUUAAUUCUUGCAAUUUAAUCUGAAAGAUUUCUCUGCGAAAUUGAUUUAUCGGUGAAGGUGGGCAGUUGGGUGUCAUAAAUUAAUUGAUUCAAUCAACAAUCAUUUUCUCCACAUUUUUAAUCCUCCACUGAUUGUGUAUUUGUUUUAAGAUUUUAGGCCAAAAGUUAGUAUUGCUGAUUGUAUUAUCUGAUAAUUUGUGCUGGUAAAUGCUAAAUUUCAUGUGGUGUUGAUUGAGAACUGUUUCUAAUUGAACAAUAUAUUGUGAAACUAUGGUUGGGUUACAGAUGUCAUUGUAGGGAAAAACCUUCAAACAUUAUUUUGUCCUUUUAGGAAGUAGAUUAUAAAUUUAUUUCAAGGAAUCCAAGUAAUGGUUGUUUUAUCUUCUUCCCUUUGACAUUCAAAGAAAAGUUUAAAAGAUCAAACAUGAGUGAAGAUGAUAUGUAGGGGUACGAGAAUAAUCUAUUUAGCUGAUUCUUCAUACUCAGCUACAUCAUCUUUACUCCUUUUUGAAUAAUCUAUUUUGAUACUAACAUGUUUGGCCUGUGCAAUUGUUUGAUUGAAAACUCAAAGCGAAUGUCCUUAUGAAAUAUGAAUGUCCAAAUUCUUUACAAAAUAUUUAUGUAAUUUUCCGGGAAAAGUCCGUCGAAACAUUUAUUUAGGUUAUUUUGGAUAGUGGAUUGUAAUCUAAUUCGAGUAAUCAAGUAAUGUUUGGACGGACAUAUUCUUGGAUUAUUAUGUAAAUACUUCGAAAAGAAAUCAAUUUUUUUGACGUAAAUAUCCAAUGUUUAUAUGAUUUUCAUGGCAUUAUGGCUUUCUUAGUUCUCUAUCCUGAAGGCUAUAAUAUUAUUGUUUGUAAAUGUAGAGUGUCCGGAGAUCAUCUCAGAUACUUCUUAUCCACAAAGCAGUUUGUGACAAUAUAACAAGACCUUUAUGAAAUUUGAAUGUUGGGAUUCUUUUAAAAGUAUAUAUGUAAUUUUCAGGGAAAGUCCGAUUAGGUUUUUUUGGCAAGUUGUUUAUUAUCUGCUUUUCAUAAAAUCAAGUAAUGUUGGGAUGGUUAUUUUCUCGGAAUACUAUGUAAAUACUCCGUAAAGAAAUGUCUAAAAUUAUUAAGCAGCUAUGCCUAUCUUUUACUGAUUCAAUGUUUCUUGAUCUUUUGUUUUUUGAGUUUGUUUUGGUGAUAGUGCUGUUCUAGAUAUAGAGCUGGAUUCAGGGAUUUUGCUUUACAAAUGGGGAAUUAGUUGUCUUACCAGUAACCAAUUACAAAUGGCAAUUAGUUUUCUUGAAUAUCCUAGCAGGGGCUUGAUUUUUCUGUGUGUGAUUGUUUGGGAACUAAUGAAAUAUAUAGCCACUAGCCCCCGUAAUGGGGAAAAGAUUGAUGGAGUGUUUGGGCAAUUGUAUCCUGGAAGUUAAAUAAUGUUAGGAAGGUUGUAUUUCUCGGAAUACCAAGUAAAAUAUUUUGAAAGGGUAGUAUUGAAGUUUAAAUUUUGUGAUUGAUGGAAAUGAGAUUAAUAUAAAAUUUUCUAGUAAUUUAGAAAAUCCUAGUAGGUGUGUGAUUCUCCCUAGUGUGAUACAUGUGCUUGUUUGGGAACUACUAAAUAUAGCCACUAACUACAGUGAGUAGAAAACAUUUGUUUGGUGCUUUAGGUGGAAUUAUUUGGGCUUUGAAAUUUGUUUGUUUGAUCCUUAGGACCACCAGUCUGAUGUAAGUUUGUACUGAAAUGAGACAAUUUAAGUUUUCUAGAAAAUCCCAGUAGUUGGGUAAUUUUCCAUAGUGUGAUACAUGUAUAUAGCCUACAGUGAGUAGAGUGGAAAACAUUUAGUUGGUGCAGGUAGUGCUUUAGGUGGAAAUAUUUGGGCUGUGAAAUUUGUUUUAAUGAGGACUGAGAGAUUAAACUAGAACUGUUAUAGAAAGAUUUGUAUGUUGGGAAAAGGCCGUUAAAACAUUUAUUUAAAUAAAUACUUUGAAAAGACAAUUUUGGAGAUGUUUGUAUUCUUGAUUUUAAAACAGUCAAGGGAAAACAUAUUUGAACCCAUGGAGCCCUUAACACCACACCAGUCCUACAAUCAGCACUUUCUGAUGAUAAUGUAAAAAUCUUAUGUGCCUAAAAACUCCACAUGAAAAUGUAUUGGAGCAAGAGAAUGGCUAAUGCAAUCGAGGGGGCACUAGAUAGUAACAACUGAUGCCCUUUGCAUAGGCAAAACAGUAUACCCAGGUAGGGUUGAUGCCAUGUGUCAUUAUAGUGAUUCUGACAGAGAAUUUUUUUUUUCGUGCAGUUUUUUGUUAUCUUUAACUCAUUAGUGAAAAAAUUAUUCUUUGUUCGUUUUUU